GCAGUAGACCGGUCUGUCGCUCCGACUUUAGAGAGUUGGGGAGGAACGUCCGGGCAACGUAGAGCACCACACUACCUAACGGGUAGCCGUUCGUGAGGGCAGAGUAGCGUAACAGAGAAGAACCGCCAUGGCUUGCCAUGGUAAGGGUGAAAAGGUGAGGUAAGAGCUCACCGGCAGGGUCAGCGAUGGCUCUGGCCGUACGCCUUGUGGGUUGUAAGAUCAUGUAUACCAACGUUUGAGGGUUGCUCGCCUGAGGUUGGGGGGUAGAUCGCUUGAUUCGCGAGGAGACUCGACGAACAGAUAAAUGACAGACACCGCUUAUUGCUUCGAGGAAGUCAAGUGGUACAGAACCCGGCUUAUAGGUCUACUGCUCUC
This 375-nucleotide RNase P RNA is filed under the name Porphyromonas crevioricanis. Its description in RNAcentral is "Bacterial RNase P class A". It matches the Rfam family "Bacterial RNase P class A". From Rfam's summary of the family: Ribonuclease P (RNase P) is a ubiquitous endoribonuclease, found in archaea, bacteria and eukarya as well as chloroplasts and mitochondria. Its best characterised activity is the generation of mature 5'-ends of tRNAs by cleaving the 5'-leader elements of precursor-tRNAs. Lineage: Bacteria; Pseudomonadati; Bacteroidota; Bacteroidia; Bacteroidales; Porphyromonadaceae. The record is from Rfam by way of RNAcentral.